This 927-nucleotide non-coding RNA is filed under the name Ololygon sp. KAV9. RNAcentral's name for it is "partial 12S small subunit ribosomal RNA". It matches the Rfam family "Bacterial small subunit ribosomal RNA". Lineage: Eukaryota; Metazoa; Chordata; Amphibia; Anura; Hylidae. The record is from RNAcentral.
UGGUCCUGGCCUUGAAAUCAGUAUUUACUUAAUUUACACAUGCAAGUCUCCGCACCCCUGUGAGAACGCCCUUAAAUCCCCCAUAGGGAAGAGGAGCCGGUAUCAGGUUCAUUUUUUAGCCCAAGACACCUAGCUACGCCACACCCACAAGGGAAUGCAGCAGUGAUUAACAUUGAUAAUAAGCGCAAGCUUGAACCAGUUAAAGUAAAGAGAGCCGGCAAAGCUGGUGCCAGCCGCCGCGGUUAAACCACGCGACUCAAAUUGAUCCCCUAGCGGCGUAAAGCGUGAUUAAAGCUAAUUAAAACUAUAGUAAAACCAGAAUUAAGCCGUUAUAAACUUAUUCUGCGGAACCCCAAAAACGAAAGUUACUACAACUCAAACAACUUGAACUCACGACAGCCAGGAAACAAACUGGGAUUAGAUACCCCACUAUGCCCGGCCGUAAACCUUAACUUACACCCAAAUCGCCAGAGAACUACGAGCAAAGCUUAAAACCCAAAGGACUUGACGGUACCCCAUAUCCACCUAGAGGAGCCUGUCCUAUAAUCGACAAUCCCCGUUCAACCUCACCACUUUUAGCCUAUCAGUCUGUAUACCUCCGUCGUCAGCUUACCACGUGAGCGACUAUAGUGAGCUCAAUGUCCCCCCCCCCCGUCAAAACGUCAGGUCAAGGUGCAACUUAUAAAGUGGGAAGAGAUGGGCUACACUCUCUAACCUAGAAAAUACGAAAGACUACUUAUGAAACCUAGUCGGAAGGCGGAUUUAGAAGUAAAAAGGCACUAGAGAGCCCUUUUUAACCCGGCCCUGGGGUGUGUACACACCGCCCGUCACCCUCUUCGAAGCCAACAAUACAGUAUAUAACUUCCCCAAGCAAAAGAGAAGAGGCAAGUCGUAACAUGGUAAGUAUACCGGAANNNNNNCUUGGAA